UACCGAGUGCGGGCCCUCUGGGUCCAACCUCCCAUCCGUGUCUAUCUGUACCCUGUUGCUUCGGCGUGGCUACGGCCCGCCGAAGACUAACAUUUGAACACUGUCUGAAGUUUGCAGUCUGAGUUUUUAGUUAAACAAUAAUUAAAACUUUCAACAACGGAUCUCUUGGUUCCGGCAUCGAUGAAGAACGCAGCGAAAUGCGAUAAUUAAUGUGAAUUGCAGAAUUCAGUGAAUCAUCGAGUCUUUGAACGCACAUUGCGCCCCCUGGUAUUCCGGGGGGCAUGCCUGUCCGAGCGUCAUUGCUGCCCUCAAGCACGGCUUGUGUGUUGGGCUUCCGUCCCUGGUAACGGGGACGGGCCCAAAAGGCAGUGGCGGCACCAUGUCUGGUCCUCGAGCGUAUGGGGCUUUGUCACCCGCUCCCGUAGGUCCAGCUGGCAGCUAGCCUCGCAACCAAUCUUU
RNAcentral lists this unclassified non-coding RNA (459 nucleotides) under Aspergillus ruber. RNAcentral describes it as "sequence contains ITS1, 5.8S rRNA gene and ITS2". The stretch from base 146 to 299 matches the Rfam family "5.8S ribosomal RNA". RNAcentral also lists the same sequence under 1 other name. The record is from RNAcentral. Lineage: Eukaryota; Fungi; Ascomycota; Eurotiomycetes; Eurotiales; Aspergillaceae.